Long non-coding RNA from Dermochelys coriacea (leatherback sea turtle), 266 nucleotides. RefSeq lists it as uncharacterized. The record is from RefSeq and is a predicted model, not a curated record. NCBI's taxonomy places the organism in Eukaryota, Metazoa, Chordata, Testudines, Dermochelyidae. The transcript has 4 exons.
UUACGUGAAGGGACAUGGUUGAAGAAAUUAAACAAGAAAACUGAAAUAUCAAGUAUUAGCAUGGUGCAUUUGUGAGCUACGGGCAAAAUUGUGUCAGAGAGACUUGGAAAGGAAGAGUUUAAGGUCAGAGUGAUUCCUGUUCAUUCUCUGCAAAAAGAUUGAUGGCUAUCGAUGCAAACUCAGACUUGUGUGCCAGGAUUAAGAAAAGGGGAAGGCCCAAAGCACUAAAUGACCCUCUGAUUGGCUGGAUUUCCAUCCGAUAAAAG